GACGAACCGUGCAAACGUUGUUCGGAAUCACUGGGCUUAAAGGGCGCGUAGGCGGCUUACCAAGUCCGGGGUGAAAUCUUUCGGCUCAACCGGAAAAGUGCCCUGGAUACUGGUAGGCUUGAGGGAGGUAGGGGCAUGUGGAACUUCCGGUGGAGCGGUGAAAUGCGUUGAUAUCGGAAGGAACGCCGGUGGCGAAAGC
RNAcentral lists this ribosomal RNA (199 nucleotides) under uncultured prokaryote. RNAcentral's name for it is "partial 16S ribosomal RNA". It matches the Rfam family "Bacterial small subunit ribosomal RNA", at positions 524 to 722 of the family's 1533-position model. The record is from RNAcentral.